This 513-nucleotide ribosomal RNA is filed under the name uncultured bacterium. RNAcentral's name for it is "partial 16S ribosomal RNA". It matches the Rfam family "Bacterial small subunit ribosomal RNA", at positions 28 to 523 of the family's 1533-position model. The record is from RNAcentral.
GAUGAACGCUGGCGGCGUGCCUAAUACAUGCAAGUCGAACGCUCAGCGAAAGGUGCUUGUACCUUUCAAGCGAGUGGCGAACGGGUGAGUAACACGUGGAUAACCUGCCUCAAGGCUGGGGAUAACAUUUGGAAACAGAUGCUAAUACCGAAUAAAACUUAGUAUCGCAUGAUACAAAGUUGAAGGGCGCUACGGCGUCACCUAGAGAUGGGUCCGCGGUGCAUUAGUUAGUUGGUGGGGUAAAGGCCUACCAAGACAAUGAUGCAUAGCCGAGGUGGGAGACUGAUCGGCCACAUUGGGACUGAGACACGGCCCAAACUCCUACGGGAGGCUGCAGUAGGGAAUCUUCCACAAUGGGCGAAAGCCUGAUGGAGCAACGCCGCGUGUGUGAUGAAGGCUUUAGGGUCGUAAAGCACUGUUGUAUGGGAAGAAAUGCUAGAAUAGGGAAUGAUUCUAGUUCGACGGUACCAUACCAGAAAGGGACGGCUAAAUACGUGCCAGCAGCCGCAGUAA